CCUACGGGAGGCAGCAGUGGGGAAUAUUGCACAAUGGGGGGAACCCUGAUGCAGCGACGCCGCGUGGGUGAAGGAGUAUUUCGGUAUGUAAAGCCCUAUCAGCAGGGAAGAACAAUGACGGUACCUGACUAAGAAGCACCGGCUAAAUACGUGCCAGCAGCCGCGGUAAUACGUAUGGUGCAAGCGUUAUCCGGAUUUACUGGGUGUAAAGGGAGCGUAGACGGUGGUGUAAGUCUGGAGUGAAAGGCGGGGGCCCAACCCCCGGACUGCUCUGGAAACUAUGUGACUGGAGUGCAGGAGAGGUGAGGGGAAUUCCUAGUGUAGCGGUGAAAUGCAUAGAUAUUAGGAGGAACACCAGUGGCGAAGGCGGCUCACUGGACUGUAACUGACGUUGAGGCUCGAAAGCGUGGGGAGCAAACAGGAUUAGAUACCCGAGUAGUC
RNAcentral lists this ribosomal RNA (441 nucleotides) under uncultured bacterium. RNAcentral describes it as "partial 16S ribosomal RNA". It matches the Rfam family "Bacterial small subunit ribosomal RNA", at positions 338 to 795 of the family's 1533-position model. The record is from RNAcentral.